Molecule: ribosomal RNA, 743 nt
Filed under: Acinetobacter calcoaceticus
Lineage: Bacteria; Pseudomonadati; Pseudomonadota; Gammaproteobacteria; Moraxellales; Moraxellaceae
Description: bacterial SSU rRNA
Rfam family: Bacterial small subunit ribosomal RNA
Source: RNAcentral
CUACACAUGCAGUCGAGCGGAGAGAGGUAGCUUGCUACUGAUCUUAGCGGCGGACGGGUGAGUAAUGCUUAGGAAUCUGCCUAUUAGUGGGGGACAACAUUUCGAAAGGAAUGCUAAUACCGCAUACGUCCUACGGGAGAAAGCAGGGGAUCUUCGGACCUUGCGCUAAUAGAUGAGCCUAAGUCGGAUUAGCUAGUUGGUGGGGUAAAGGCCUACCAAGGCGACGAUCUGUAGCGGGUCUGAGAGGAUGAUCCGCCACACUGGGACUGAGACACGGCCCAGACUCCUACGGGAGGCAGCAGUGGGGAAUAUUGGACAAUGGGCGCAAGCCUGAUCCAGCCAUGCCGCGUGUGUGAAGAAGGCCUUAUGGUUGUAAAGCACUUUAAGCGAGGAGGAGGCUACUCUAGUUAAUACCUAGAGAUAGUGGACGUUACUCGCAGAAUAAGCACCGGCUAACUCUGUGCCAGCAGCCGCGGUAAUACAGAGGGUGCAAGCGUUAAUCGGAUUUACUGGGCGUAAAGCGCGCGUAGGCGGCUAAUUAAGUCAAAUGUGAAAUCCCCGAGCUUAACUUGGGAAUUGCAUUCGAUACUGGUUAGCUAGAGUGUGGGAGAGGAUGGUAGAAUUCCAGGUGUAGCGGUGAAAUGCGUAGAGAUCUGGAGGAAUACCGAUGGCGAAGGCAGCCAUCUGGCCUAACACUGACGCUGAGGUGCGAAAGCAUGGGGAGCAAACAGGAUUAGAUACCU